UUUGAAGAGCUUGCUCAGAUAUGACGAUGGACAUUGCAAAGAGUGGCGAACGGGUGAGUAACACGUGGGAAACCUACCUCUUAGCAGGGGAUAACAUUUGGAAACAGAUGCUAAUACCGAAUAACAAUAGCAACCGCAUGGUUGCUACUUAAAAGAUGGUUCUGCUAUCACUAAGAGAUGGCCCCGCGGUGCAUUAGUUAGUUGGUGAGGUAAUGGCUCACCAAGACGAUGAUGCAUACCCGAGUUGAGAGACUGAUCGGCCACAAUGGGACUGAGACACGGCCCAUACUCCUACGGGAGGCAGCAGUAGGGAAUCUUCCACAAUGGGCGAAAGCCUGAUGGAGCAACGCCGCGUGUGUGAUGAAGGGUUUCGGCUCGUAAAACACUGUUGUAAGAGAAGAAUGACAUUGAGAGUAACUGUUCAAUGUGUGACGGUAUCUUACCAGAAAGGAACGGCUAAAUACGUGCCAGCAGCCGCGGUAAUACGUAUGUUCCAAGCGUUAUCCGGAUUUAUUGGGCGUAAAGCGAGCGCAGACGGUUAUUUAAGUCUGAAGUGAAAGCCCUCAGCUCAACUGAGGAAUUGCUUUGAAAACUGGAUGACUUGAGUGCAGUAGAGGAAAGUGGAACUCCAUGUGUAGCGGUGAAAUGCGUAGAUAUAUGGAAGAACACCAGGGGCAAAGGCGGCUUUCUGGACUGUAACUGACGUUGAGGCUCGAAAGUGUGGGUAGCAAACAGGAUUAGAUCCCCUGGUAGCCCACACCGAAAACGAUGAGUGCUAGGUGUUGGAGGGUUCCCCCCUU
RNAcentral lists this ribosomal RNA (800 nucleotides) under Weissella cibaria. Its description in RNAcentral is "bacterial SSU rRNA". It matches the Rfam family "Bacterial small subunit ribosomal RNA", at positions 69 to 840 of the family's 1533-position model. The record is from RNAcentral. Lineage: Bacteria; Bacillati; Bacillota; Bacilli; Lactobacillales; Lactobacillaceae.